Molecule: ribosomal RNA, 253 nt
Filed under: uncultured bacterium
Lineage: Bacteria
Description: partial 16S ribosomal RNA
Rfam family: Bacterial small subunit ribosomal RNA
Source: RNAcentral
UACAGAGGGUGCGAGCGUUGUCCGGAAUCACUGGGCGUAAAGAGCGCGCAGGCGGUCGUUCAAGUCGAGUGUGAAAGCCCCCGGCUCAACUGGGGAGGGUCACUCGAUACUGAUCGACUCGAAGGCAGAAGAGGGAAGCGGAAUUCCCGGUGUAGUGGUGAAAUGCGUAGAUAUCGGGAGGAACACCAGUGGCGAAGGCGGCUUUCUGGUCUGCUCUUGACGCUGAGGCGCGAAAGCUAGGGUAGCAAACGGG